UACGUAGGGGGCAAGCGUUGUCCGGAUUUAUUGGGCGUAAAGAGCGUGUAGGCGGCCUGAAAGGUCAGCUGUGAAAACUCGAGGCUCAACCUCGAGACGUCGGUUGAAACCAUCUGGCUAGAGUCCGGAAGAGGAGUGUGGAAUUCCCGGUGUAGCGGUGAAAUGCGCAGAUAUCGGGAAGAACACCCGUGGCGAAGGCGGCACUCUGGGACGGUACUGACGGCGUGAGACGCGAAAGCGUGGGGAGCGAACAGG
This 255-nucleotide ribosomal RNA is filed under the name uncultured bacterium. Its description in RNAcentral is "partial 16S ribosomal RNA". It matches the Rfam family "Bacterial small subunit ribosomal RNA", at positions 524 to 776 of the family's 1533-position model. The record is from RNAcentral.